RNAcentral lists this unclassified non-coding RNA (151 nucleotides) under soil metagenome. Its description in RNAcentral is "partial internal transcribed spacer 1". The record is from RNAcentral.
GCGAGUAUGGCCCUCACGGGUCUAAUCCACCAUAAACACCUUUGUGAACCAGUCAGGGGGACUCGGCCGUGAGAGCCCAGGCGAUUAGCGGAAGGGCCCUCCUUUGCAAACCCGUUUAGAAGUCUUGAAAGUACUUUUGUAUAAUCUAGUA